CCCUGGUGAGUAGUUCCGGUUCCUGUCGCCGCCUCCCUGGCAGUCGAGUGGCGGUUGUGAGACCAUGGUGGCGAAGCAGCGGAUCCGGAUGGCCAACGAGGAAGCACAGUAAGAACAUCACCCAGCGCGGGCAACGUGGCGCGAAGCACUCGGCCCCUGCAGGAGGAAAAGGGCCCGGUCGCUCCCUGGUUAUUGGCUCUCUUCGUGUUUGUGGUGUGUGGAUCAGCAAUUUUCCAGAUUAUUCAGAGCAUCCGGAUGGGAGCUUGAAGGAUGAUCCAGCUGGUGGGAGCAAUUUUCCGUACACCCAUUGCCGACUGUUUCUUCUUUUCACUCUGAUUCCUGAUCGACUUCUGUGUGGACUCAACAACAAACUUAAAGUCUUAUAUAUAAAUCCAAAUCUACCAUCAGUAUUUCCCAGUAAUAAGUAAGGCGGGUGCACAUUGUAGACAGUGAUAUAUAUAGAGAUAUAUAUAUAUACAUAUAUAUAAAGUAACUUAUAGAAUAAGGCAAAAAUAGUGGCAACCUGAGCAGUAUACGUAUUCCAGCCAUUUGCUGAUGCUCAGUGUAACUCAUCACUUCUCUUCGUUCCUGUAAACACAAGGACGUUCUUUACUAGUGCUGGGUGCACUCUCUCAACGUUCCUUGCCAUAGCUAACCCUCAGUUUAGGGAUUCCUAACCUUUGUUAUGCCAUGGACCCCUACCAUUAACCAAGGGGUCCAUGACCCCAGGUUGGGAAUGCCUAUCUUCUCGCUGUCUGGUAGCCUGGGUCUUUCUCAGAGUUUGUCUCUGUUUGCCGGGUGUGACCACGAGUCUGUCAGUGUCUCCCAUCACUCUGCCGUCCACUGGGGUGUGGGGCUGACUCUGAAGGAACAGGAACACCUCUGUUGGGUUUUAAAAAGCCUUGCCAGUCCAAGCAAAUUAUUUAUGCACUUCAUCCUGUUUGAGGGAUAUACGGUUUGGCAGGUUUUUUUCUUACAUUUAGACAAAUGGAAAUGAGAUGCACUAUUGUUCUGCAUGCUGACUUGUUACGUAAACCUCACACUCUAGUAAUCCUGUAGACUGACCGGCACUUUCCGAGCCUGCAUCAUGGAGCAGAUGGCAGUCCGGUUACUGUGGACCUCUUCCCUACAGGGACCGUCAAAUCCUGGCAGGCUAUGGUACUGACUGGUUUAGUAAGGUGCUGGGUCACUACAGGUCUCUUUAUUCAUACAGUCUCCUGUUCUCUGGUGUGCGGUGCAUCAUUCCUUCUGCCUCGCACUCACAUUGGACUUGGCAGGAGCUGAUCUCGAGGGACCAGUCCCUGAUCAUUUCAACUGACCUGAUUAAUAAGGAGACCAAGUUCCACCAUACAGCCCAGCCGCAAGCACGGCAGCUUUUUGUCAUAGGACCACUGACCGGUAAGCUUUUCUUAUCCCUGCAUGUUCAUAUGGCUCCAUCCAACUCCAGUGGACACCUCUCCAAUUUCCGCUAUAACCAACUCCCUUGUAAGUUCUUGGCCAAUAUUGCAAGUGGCUUAACCCCUUAAAUCAUUUGUGCUGUCCUUGCCCUGUGGAGGGAGCUUCACUCUGUGUCUGACGCCGGGAGUGUGUGAUGGGUCAUUCUGUCCAAUGUGCCAUAUCUAUCCCUGUAGUGUUAUUUCAGCACAGGUAUUUUUUAUAACUAAAAGAAAAUAAUUAAGUUGUUGAACAGGUGGUUCAAUCUGUAAAUAUCUGUCAUAGAAGCAAUUGUCUACUAAUUGGCAUUUCAGACCUUCUGUGAGUGGUCCAUUCUUGUAAAAGUCCUGAUGCAGAGUAGAACCGCCCUGGUCCUCUACUACCCCAUGCCUUCUUGCGCUGGUGUGGUUUUGCUGGCCAUUUCCCAUGCCAGCUGUCCUGUGUAGGGUGAAACAUCACUGGAAUCGGGUCAGAGAAGAUCUGAUCCUCCUGCUGUGAAGAUCAUGAAGCGUUCUCACUCUGUUAAAUGUGGGAUUGUGCAAUGUUCUGGGCUGAUCUUUACCCCAGCACCCUGUAGCUCUUUAGACUCCAAUAAAUUGGACAAAUUAUUGUUCCCCCUGAGUCACCACUGGCUGGACAGGUCUGUCUGCCUAUUGUUAUCACCACAGUACAGCCACUCUGACAGGUUCAGGGAGUGAUGGACUGAGAUGAUCUGUGAUCUGGGCAUGUACCCCUGACUUCCAACCGGUUGACUGUAGGCUUUCUCUGGUCACCAUGGAAACAUAGACCUCCACUCCCUGGCUGGUCUAUGGCUCAGUAAGAACAGGGACCAGAGAGUAGGCAUAUCUCACUUAACCCCUGCACCAGCUUGAGAAGUACCUUAAUGUUGUGACAACCAGUGACCAGGGGUUGAAAGUUUCCCCUGGUAAUUGUCCUGGGCCUGGACUAGAUCAAACCCCUUCCACUGCUUGUUAGACCAGUCUCAGUGGAACUGUGGCAACACUCUGCUACUGGCUCCCAGCACAGCAGCUACCGUGCAGGGGAAAGGCCUCUUGGACCAGCUUCUGUCCAAUUAGACAAGCCAUCUCCCAGUGGUCAUUGCCUAAGGUUUUUCAGAUGGCAUCGAAGCCGAGUGGUCAGUGUAAAGUUUUACAGCGCCAGCAACCCAGGUUCAAUUCCCACCGUUGUCUGUAAGGAGUUUGUACAUUCUCCUGUGACCAUGUGGGUUUCUUUUAGGUGCUCCAGUUUCUCCCCACAUUCCAAAGACAUACAGGUUCGUAGCUUAAUUGGUCACGAGUAGUUGUAUGGCCAGAAAAGCCUGUUACCAUGCUGUAUCUAAAUACAAUUAAAUUUUAUUGUUACUGGCAUUUGGUUGAAUUUUACAUUUGAGUUCCCAACCCUAAAGGAUGAAUUUUGUACUCAAUGCUUCUGCCAUCCUGGAACAUUUGUAUUUAUCAGCAAUAAAGGAUGUACCUGCCUUGUUGUAAA
Hypanus sabinus (Atlantic stingray) is the source of this 2922-nucleotide long non-coding RNA. RefSeq lists it as uncharacterized. NCBI's taxonomy places the organism in Eukaryota, Metazoa, Chordata, Chondrichthyes, Myliobatiformes, Dasyatidae. The transcript has 3 exons. The record is from RefSeq and is a predicted model, not a curated record.